AACCCAUCCAGAGCGACCGAGAGACCUGGCUCGUUGACGUCGCAGCAACCACCCGAACCGCGGGACGGUGCUACCGCCAGGACCGAUGGAGC
RNAcentral lists this non-coding RNA (92 nucleotides) under Glutamicibacter arilaitensis. RNAcentral describes it as "Arthrobacter arilaitensis SAM-I sequence". It matches the Rfam family "SAM riboswitch aptamer (S box leader)". From Rfam's summary of the family: The SAM riboswitch is found upstream of a number of genes which code for proteins involved in methionine or cysteine biosynthesis in Gram-positive bacteria. The SAM riboswitch acts at the level of transcription termination control. The record is from RNAcentral. Lineage: Bacteria; Bacillati; Actinomycetota; Actinomycetes; Micrococcales; Micrococcaceae.